UGUCGUCCAUUGCGGUUUUUCUGUGUUUGCUGGUCAUCCUGGUUUCAGGAUUAAAAGAGCUCAUUGUGAAUCCUGGACAAGAUGCCCCUCUUCAGUGUCAGGGUCCCAGAGAUGCAGAGAUCACCCUGUUGGAGUGGAACAGAGCUGACCUCAAAUCAGAUGAAUAUGUCUUUAUGUACAGAAACCAGCGCCCGUAUGAAAGCUACCAACAUGAGUCCUUCAAAGGCUGAGUGGACCUGAUGGAUCCAUCCAUGAAGGAUGGAAAUGUGUCUGUGACGCUGAGGAACGUCAGGAUCAACGAUACAGGAACGUACAAGUGUCAGAUUACAACCAAGGAAACAGAAAGUGUCGUCCACGAGUGCUCCAUCAACCUCACAGUCACAACCUCAGAUAAACACACCAAGGAGUCCCAGACUGAGUCCAAGGAUGGAGGAGAGAGGGUUAAGUGUCUGUCUGUCAUCAUCCUCGUCCUGUCAGUUUUUGUUGUGCUUAUUACUGAUAUUAUGUAAUUGCCCGCAGAACCUGAAAAAUGUGUCUGAUCUCUUUACUGACAGUGAGUUCUGCUCUUCAACAAAGACGAAUCUUUCAAGUUAGAGCUUCAUGCAGCACAUUCACAGCACUGCAGGCCUCACCAAUCAUUACAGUUAAAUCAGUUAACGUUAGAUCAGUGCUAUGGGUUCCCAUUGUGCCUGUAAAAAGCUUUGAGUUUAACCCUGGGUUUUAUGUACCUGUAGCUUUAUUGUUUGAAGUCUGCAGCAGAGCUUGGCUUUCCUCUGGGAACAGGCAGCAGGUGGAGGAGCAGCUGGUGUGCACAGGGGAGUAAAUGAUAGGUUGAAUCUUUCCAAACGAAAAAAUCAAUCUAUCCUUUUUCUUUAGCUUAUUUGGGGUGGGUUAUGGGAGCACCAGCCUAAGCAUAGAAGGCUUCUCACCAGCCACUUCCUCCAGGGUGUCCUGGAGCCUCCUCUCAGUGGAAAAAAUGAAACGAGUAGGUGUUGUUGUAGUUUUUGUUUUGGGGGGGGGGGGGUUUGAGAAAGAC
Long non-coding RNA from Oreochromis aureus, 1036 nucleotides. RefSeq lists it as uncharacterized. The transcript has 3 exons. Lineage: Eukaryota; Metazoa; Chordata; Actinopteri; Cichliformes; Cichlidae. The record is from RefSeq and is a predicted model, not a curated record.